AUGAUUUCCCAUUCAGUUUGCUCCCUUUCUGUUUGUUGCUCAAACAAAUUUCAGGUCUCAUCGUCCGAUGGCUAUGGCCGGCUGGUUCAUAGUCUUCAUCGGGGUGUGGUGGCUGCCAGUAAUUCUCGUGGAGGCCGAGAACCAGCAGGGGUAGGCUGCUCGGCCAAGUGUGGCAACAUCAGCAUCUUCGAUCCGUUCUGGCUCACAGACGGAGAGACGGGAAGAUCCUGCGGUUCUGAUCCCUACCAAAUUUUUGUAUUUUGUUUUGCCAUUUUUUCCGGUCCUGGGCGAAACGGCCGAAAUUCGGUUUUUCUAAAAAAAAUCGGAUAA
RNAcentral lists this ribosomal RNA (330 nucleotides) under Triticum aestivum (bread wheat). RNAcentral describes it as "partial small subunit ribosomal RNA". Lineage: Eukaryota; Viridiplantae; Streptophyta; Magnoliopsida; Poales; Poaceae. The record is from RNAcentral.